UGGGGAAUAUUGGACAAUGGGGGCAACCCUGAUCCAGCAAUGCCGCGUGUGUGAAGAAGGCCUGAGGGUUGUAAAGCACUUUCAGUGGGGAGGAGGUUAUGCAGGUUAAGAGCUAGCAUAAUGGACGUUACCCACAGAAGAAGCACCGGCUAACUCCGUGCCAGCAGCCGCGGUAAUACGGAGGGUGCGAGCGUUAAUCGGAAUUACUGGGCGUAAAGAGUGCGUAGGUGGUUUAUUAAGUUAUCUGUGAAAUCCCUGGGCUCAACCUGGGCAGGUCAGAUAAGACUGGUAGACUCGAGUAUGGGAGAGGGUAGUGGAAUUUCCGGUGUAGCGGUGAAAUGCGUAGAGAUCGGAAGGAACACCAGUGGCGAAGGCGGCUACCUGGCCUAAUACUGACACUGAGGCACGAAAGCGUGGGGAGCAAACAG
This 428-nucleotide ribosomal RNA is filed under the name uncultured bacterium. RNAcentral's name for it is "bacterial SSU rRNA". It matches the Rfam family "Bacterial small subunit ribosomal RNA", at positions 355 to 775 of the family's 1533-position model. The record is from RNAcentral.